This 870-nucleotide ribosomal RNA is filed under the name Staphylococcus saprophyticus. Its description in RNAcentral is "partial 16S ribosomal RNA". The stretch from base 1 to 478 matches the Rfam family "Bacterial small subunit ribosomal RNA", at positions 39 to 535 of the family's 1533-position model. The record is from RNAcentral. Lineage: Bacteria; Bacillati; Bacillota; Bacilli; Caryophanales; Staphylococcaceae.
GCGGGGCUAUCUGCAGUCGAGCGAAAGAUAAGGAGCUUGCUCCUUUGACGUUAGCGGCGGACGGGUGAGUAACACGUGGGUAACCUACCUAUAAGACUGGGAUAACUUCGGGAAACCGGAGCUAAUACCGGAUAACAUUUGGAACCGCAUGGUUCUAAAGUGAAAGAUGGUUUUGCUAUCACUUAUAGAUGGACCCGCGCCGUAUUAGCUAGUUGGUAAGGUAACGGCUUACCAAGGCGACGAUACGUAGCCGACCUGAGAGGGUGAUCGGCCACACUGGAACUGAAACACGGUCCAGACUCCUACGGGAGGCAGCAGUAGGGAAUCUUCCGCAAUGGGCGAAAGCCUGACGGAUAACCCCCUCGUGAGUGAUGAAGGGUUUCAACCUCAAAAACCUCUUGUUUUAGGGGAAAAACAAAUGUGUAAUUAACCUGUGCGCCUUUUCGCCCGGCCACCUAAUCCAAAAAGCUCUCCGGCUUAUAUUAUCGUCUCCCAUCCACCCGGGGGGAAAUAACCGUAGGGCGGGACAAACCUCUUUUUCCCGGAAUAUUAUUGGGUGCGCUUAAAACGCCUCCCCGUAAGGGGCGGUUUCUCCCCUAAUUUUCCUAAAUCGUGGAAAAGCCCCCCCCCGCCCUCACCCCCCGUGGGGAGGGGUUCCUUUUUGGGAAACCCUUGGGGUAAAACUCUUUUAUUUUUCCCCAACAAACAUAAACAAGUGGGAACUCCCCCUUGCUGUCAUCCCGUGAAAAAACGGUCCCCCAACAAUUUUUGGUGGAGAACCCCCCCCCGUUGGCCAAAACGGGCAACCCUUUCUUGGUCUUGGUACUUUCAACACCAAUCUUGUCGGUAAAAAUUGCGGGCGGGCUUACA